Molecule: ribosomal RNA, 298 nt
Filed under: uncultured Bacteriovorax sp.
Lineage: Bacteria; Pseudomonadati; Bdellovibrionota; Bacteriovoracia; Bacteriovoracales; Bacteriovoracaceae
Description: partial 16S ribosomal RNA
Rfam family: Bacterial small subunit ribosomal RNA
Source: RNAcentral
AAUGAACGCUGGCGGCGUGCUUAACACAUGCAAGUCGAACGAGAAAGCACCUUCGGGUGUGAGUAGAGUGGCGCACGGGUGAGUAACACGUAGGUAACCUGCCCAUUGAUGGGGGAUAGCCAGAAGAAAUUCUGGCUAAUACCGCAUAAGUUGGUAACAAGAAAGGAUGCUUCGGCAUUCGUCGAUGGAUGGGCCUGCGGAACAUUAGCUUGAUGGUGGGGUAAUGGCCUACCAUGGCUACGAUGUUUAGCUGGUCUGAGAGGAUGAUCAGCCACACUGGAACUGAGACACGGUCCAG